This 2870-nucleotide long non-coding RNA is filed under the name Rattus norvegicus (Norway rat). RNAcentral's name for it is "long non-coding RNA NONRATT027287". The record is from RNAcentral. Lineage: Eukaryota; Metazoa; Chordata; Mammalia; Rodentia; Muridae.
AACUCUUUCAGGCAUGGUCUAGGCCUGAUCACAGGGAGAACAGAUUUUAAAGCUUUGUCACCUGGAGUGGAUUUUUCUCCGUUGAGUUCGAUGUGGCAGUUAGACCUGCCCAGAGCAGCUGGAAGAGGAUGUUGAGCUGAAAUGGAGUAACAGGACCGUGGAAGAGCUAAGUCCCCAGAUUGGCAGGAGAUGGGGUGUGUCGGAGUCUCUAGGAAUACCCCAUUGCCUGUUGCAGAAUCUGGACCGUUGUCUCUGCCACAGAUCACCUGCUGGGCAGUGGGGUCAGGGCUCCACACCAGUGCCCUGAAGCACGGUCUCCUCUAAGAUAAGAGGGGCUAAGUUCAAAACCCUGAGUGUAGGAUGGUGGUCAAAGAAGAGGGGUCCCUAGGGUUCCCCUCCUUGCCUGCAGUUAACUUCAUAGCUUCUCCAGGGUACCAGCUUUGGUGCCAGCACACAGCACUCUCAACAGCUCCUGUGCGGGUAGCCAUGGGUUCACUGCUUGGUGAUCAGAUGAACAGUAUGAAGGCUCCCCAUCCUUCUUGUACAUUUAUGGACCCUGCAGAGAGACAUAAGACCGUCGGGGUGGGUUGCAGAGGACUAAGGGCUGUAGCAGGAUGCCUCACUGUAACAAUUAUGCCAAGAAUUCUGGGAUUGAAGUCGAGUCCCCAAGCUGGUGUUUCUCAAAUUGUACACACACACACACACACACACACACACACACACACACACACACACACACACACCAUCCCAGGCCAGCAGCAGGAACCUCAUCUGGAGACUUAGCAGCAAAUCGUCAGCCCCACCAGACUCAGUGGGUAGAGCAACCUGUCCUCUGCAAGUCUGAGGUCCAGCCUCCAGGUGAGGCCGGUGACAUCAAGCUUGGGAACCACUCAGCCCAGCCUCAGAAGGUGACUGGUUCUUGGUGUGAGGAAUGAGGGCCAGGAAAGGUAGAAAAGGACCCCACCAGUGUCUGCAGAGCAGGAAAGAGAGAACAUCCUGGAAGCCCCUACCUGUGUUCGGUCCUGCUGCCAAUGCAGUGCAGGGGGUGAGUGAAACUUGGGGUGCCUGCACUUUAGGGAACCUAGCCUGAGGCACUAGUCUGUUUUCUUACAGCUGUGAAGAUUCCAAUUGAGGCUUUCAGAAAACAUAGGUAAAUUUUAAAAAAAAUGCGUUUUGCAAAUGCAGCCCUAAAGGGUACUGCUGAGUUUUUUAGGGGACCAUGUCCGUGGUGGGGUGGGGUGCUCUCCUGGUGAAAUUCAGUCCCAGCACUGCAAAAUAGAAAAUACUGAUACACAGAGUGUUCCGGUGACAGGUCUGCACUGCUGAGGGAGCUGCAAGGGCAGCAGAGCCUGGUCUGAUGCAGGAGCACUGUGUGAGGUGGCAUCUUUAACUGGACUAGGGCAGAGGUGGGAGGUGUGAGCAUCUGUGUGGUUUCUACUUUACAGCAAAGCCUCCAUCCGGUUAGAACUAGAACGGGGCAAGGCUUUGAGAAUGGUGCUGCCUGUUCACGGGAGCAUCCAGGCACUCAGAGAGAGAUGCCACACUCCUAGUUAGCAAUGUUACAAUGUUUCUCCCAGGACGGCAGGUCUGAGAAUCCUUCUGCAACAGAACAUAGUCCUCUAGAACACAGUGAAUUCCUGAAAAUAAAAGACUUGGGGCUUGUAGAGCGCUUACCUAGGAAGCGCAAGGCCCUGGGUUCAGUCCCCAGCUCCGAAAAAAAGAACCCCCCCCAAAAAAAAAGACUUGGGGCUUUAGAGCGGGGUUGUGGGUAAUGACUGAAAGUAAGGCUAAGUCUGAGUGGGUGGAGAACAAUGCUAAUUUCCAGUGGAUGCGGGUGUCUCUUCUGAGGGCUUCUGGGAGAAAGAACCGCAAAGCACUGGGCCUAUCUGUCCAAAGGCUUGAAGAAUCUAUGCAGCUGAGACUCACGUUAGGAACCCUUCAUCUGUUGUAAAUAUGUUGUACAUACAUAGGAGGCUGUAUAUUUUUGCAGGUGUUGAUCCACACAGAAAUAGAGGUCACUAGUAUUCCGCAUUUUAAAAAAACCCAUGUUCUCAUAGAUGUUAGUGGUUUUGUUUGGGAACUAGAAGAAUUUUACCUUCUUUCCCAUAGUUCUGUCAAUGUAAAUCUGGAGCCUAAAACCUUAACUGUUUGGAAAAGAGAAAAAUGUCUGGGAAAUAACUGCUUUGAUUUCUUAUGCUGGUAUUGCGAUCUGUUGUCUAGAUGCUACAGGAAAGAUGUUUAGGGGGAAAUCAUUGUCCUAUGGAAACAGGCAUGCCCAAAAGGAGACUUUUCACUACAUUAUGUCCUUUCACAGUGAACGUUGAUGCUACUUCAUAGAAGUUGUGAAAAGAGAACUUAGGGAGGGUUUGGUUUUUGGUUUUUUGUUUUCAAAACUGAAGUUGCUGUUUCCCAAACUUUGGGAUCCGUGAGGUGAGAGCUGAACAUUACUAGGAGCGCAGGUUUGAAGGACAGCAUCUGUGAUGUCUAAGCCUUUGAAGGUCGUGCAUGUCUGCCUUUUAGCAUUGAUGCCAACAUAGAUGGUCUUGUCGCCCCCUCCCCCAAACACUUGAAUCUUAACCAUCGGUACGCAGUGCAGUCUCUAGAGUCCAGUGUGUCUUCGAUCCCCAUCUGACUCAGUACAUGUAGCACAGCACUAUUUUACUAAUGUAAAAACCUUGUAAAUGAUUUCAGGUGGGCAUCCAAAGUGAAUCACAGGUAACUAGACUUACCUGUUCACUGUCCAUCACAUAAAGUUGGGUAUUUUUUUUCCUUCGGGGUGUGGUAUAAAUAAAAAAAAAUGUAAGAAGUUCUGUUCUAUAAAUGCAGUGUUAACAUAGUUUUCAAACAUUAAAAUGUGAAUUAAAGUACUU